This 466-nucleotide ribosomal RNA is filed under the name uncultured bacterium. Its description in RNAcentral is "partial 16S ribosomal RNA". It matches the Rfam family "Bacterial small subunit ribosomal RNA", at positions 28 to 507 of the family's 1533-position model. The record is from RNAcentral.
GACGAACGCUGGCGGUGUGCUUAACACAUGCAAGUCGAACGGUAAGGCCCUUUCGGGGGUACACGAGUGGCGAACGGGUGAGUAACACGUGAGUAACCUGCCCUCAUCUCUGGGAUAACAGUCGGAAACGGUUGCUAAUUCUGGAUAUGAGCUUGCAAGGCAUCUUGUGGGUUGGAAAGAUUUUUUUGGUUGGGGAUGGACUCGCGGCCUAUCAGCUUGUUGGUGAGGUAGUGGCUCACCAAGGCUUCGACGGGUAGCCGGCCUGAGAGGGCGACCGGCCACAUUGGGACUGAGAUACGGCCCAAACUCCUACGGGAGGCAGCAGUGGGGAAUAUUGCACAAUGGACGGAAGUCUGAUGCAGCAACGCCGCGUGCGGGAUGACGGCCUUCGGGUUGUAAACCGCUUUCAAUUGUGACGAAGCUUUUUGUGACGGUAGCAGUAGAAGAAGCACCGGCUAACUACGUG